AGUGAACGCUGGCGGCAGGCCUAACACAUGCAAGUCGAACGGCAGCACAGGAGGUGCUUGCUGUUGCGGGUGGCGAGCGGCGGAAGGGUGCGGUAGGCACCGGAAUCUACUUUUUCGCUGGGGCUAACGCAGGGUAAUUCAUGCCGCUACCGCAUUCCACCUGCGGGUGACAGCCGGGGAUCUUUGGACCUUUCGGGUUUGAUUAUGCCUAAGUCGGAUUAGUUAGUUGGCGGGGUAAAGGCCGACCAAGGCGACGAUCCGUAGCGGGUCUGAGAGGAUGAUCAGCCACACUGGAACUGAGACACGGCCCAGACUCCUACGGGAGGCAGCAGUGGGGAAUAUUGGACAAUGGGCGAAAGCCUGAUCCAGCAAUACCGCGUGGGUGAAGAAGGCCUUCGGGUUGUAAAGCCCUUUUGUUCGGAAAGAAAAGCAGCGGUUUAAUACGGCACGGUUAUGACGGUACCCGAAGAAUAAGCACCGGCUAACUUCGUG
RNAcentral lists this ribosomal RNA (492 nucleotides) under uncultured bacterium. Its description in RNAcentral is "partial 16S ribosomal RNA". It matches the Rfam family "Bacterial small subunit ribosomal RNA", at positions 29 to 507 of the family's 1533-position model. The record is from RNAcentral.